RNAcentral lists this ribosomal RNA (255 nucleotides) under uncultured bacterium. RNAcentral describes it as "partial 16S ribosomal RNA". It matches the Rfam family "Bacterial small subunit ribosomal RNA", at positions 524 to 776 of the family's 1533-position model. The record is from RNAcentral.
UACGUAGGUGGCAAGCGUUGUCCGGAAUUAUUGGGCGUAAAGCGCGCGCAGGCGGCCUCUUAAGUCUGAUGUGAAAGCCCCCCGGCUUCAACCGGGGAGGGCCAUUGGAAACUGGGAGGCUUGAGUAUAGGAGAGAAGAGUGGAAUUCCACGUGUAGCGGUGAAAUGCGUAGAGAUGUUGGAGGAACACCAGUGGCGAAGCGACUCUUUGGCCUAUAACUGACGCUGAGGCGCGAAAGCGUGGGGAGCAAACAGG